CGCGUAUAGAAUCUGCCUUGUACAGGAGGAUAGCCUUUAGAAAUGAAGAUUAACACUCCAUAAUAUAUAGUAAUGGCAUCAUUAUUAUAUUAAACAUUUAUGGGUACAAGAUGACUAUGCGUCCUAUUAGCUAGAUGGUAAGGUAACGGCUUACCAUGGCAACGAUAGGUAGGGGGUCUGAGAGGAUUAUCCCCCACACUGGUACUGAGACACGGACCAGACUCCUACGGGAGGCAGCAGUGAGGAAUAUUGGUCAAUGGAGGCAACUCUGAACCAGCCAUGCCGCGUGCAGGAUGACUG
Molecule: ribosomal RNA, 300 nt
Filed under: uncultured Tenacibaculum sp.
Lineage: Bacteria; Pseudomonadati; Bacteroidota; Flavobacteriia; Flavobacteriales; Flavobacteriaceae
Description: bacterial SSU rRNA
Rfam family: Bacterial small subunit ribosomal RNA
Source: RNAcentral